Molecule: long non-coding RNA, 211 nt
Filed under: Lathyrus oleraceus (garden pea)
Lineage: Eukaryota; Viridiplantae; Streptophyta; Magnoliopsida; Fabales; Fabaceae
Description: Pisum sativum (pea) long non-coding RNA (PSAT_LNC017760)
Source: RNAcentral
UUUUCCAUUUCAAAUUUGACAAAAACCUUUAUGUUUCCGAGUUCUUUAUUUCGUACUGAUCAUUAUAGUGCAGUCAGUUAAUUUUUUCGAGCAUUUUGGCGCCCAAUUGUAUUCUUUUAUCUUUUAUUUUUAUUUUUUAUUUUUUAGCCAAAUGAUCAGUAUAAUUAAUUAGAAUUAAUCGUACAUUUAGUUUGAUUUUGUGUCAGACAUU